UCCUGGCUCAGAUUGAACGCUGGCGGCAUGGAUUAGGCAUGCAAGUCGAACGAGAAGCCAUCUUCGGAUGGCAGACAGUGGCGAAAGGGUGAGUAACACGUGAGCAAUCUGCCCCCGAGUUCGGAAUAGCCCGCGGAAACGUGGAGUAAUACCGGAUACCGAGAUCGUGGCCGCAUGGCCGUGUUCUCGAAAGUUUUUCGCUCGGGGAUGAGCUCGCGCCCCAUUAGCUUGUUGGCGGGGUAACGGCCCACCAAGGCUACGACGGGUAGGUGGUCUGAGAGGACGAUCACCCACACCGGGACUGAGACACUGCCCGGACUCCUACGGGAGGCUGCAGUCGAGAAUCUUCCGCAAUGGGCGAAAGCCUGACGGAGCAAUGCCGCGUGGGGGAUGAAGGCCUUCGGGUCGUAAACCCCUGUCAGAUGGGACGAAAUUUGACGGUACCAUCAGAGGAAGCCACGGCUAACUACGUGCCAGCAGCCGCGGUAAUACGUAGGUGGCGAGCGUUAAUCGGAUUUACUGGGCGUAAAGGGUCCGUAGGGGGUCUGUCAAGUCGGGUGUGGAAAUCCUGCGGCUCAACCGCGGAACUGCACUCGAUACUGACGGGCUUGAGUCCGCGAGGGGUGAACGGAAUUCCUGGUGUAGCGGUGGAAUGCGUAGAUAUCAGGAAGAACACCCGAUGGCGAAAGCGGUUCACUGGCGCGGUACUGACCCUGAGGGACGAAAGCGUGGGUAGCGAACAGGAUUUAGAUACCCUGGUAGUCCACGCCGUAAACGUUGUGCGCUAGAUGUGGGGGGACUGAUCCCCUCCGUGUCCAAGCUAACGCGAUAAGCGCACCGCCUGGGGACUACGGUCGCAAGACUAAAACUCAAAGGAAUUGACGGGGGCCCGCACAAGCGGUGGAGUAUGUGGCUUAAUUCGAGGCAACGCGAAGAACCUUACCCGGGUUUGACAUAUACCGGACCGCCAUGGAAACAUGGCCUCCCUUCGGGGCCGGUAUACAGAUGCUGCAUGGCUGUCGUCAGCUCGUGCCGUGGGGUGUUCGGUUAAGUCCGGCAACGAGCGCAAUCCACAUCGUCAGUUACCAGCGCGUAAUGGCGGGGACUCUGGCGAGACUGCCCGCGUCAAGCGGGAGGAAGGCGUGGACGACGUCAAGUCCGUAUGGCUCUUACAUCCGGGGCUGCACACGUGCUACAAUGGUCGGUACAAUGGGACGCGAUGCCGCGAGGCGGAGCCAAUCCCCAAAGCCGGCCCCAGUUCGGAUCGAAGUCUGCAACUCGACUUCGUGAAGUCGGAAUCGCUAGUAAAGGGGCAUCAGCAACGGCCCCUUGAAUACGUUCCCGGGCCUUGUACACACCGCCCGUCACAUCAUGGAAGCCUGCUGCACCCGUAGUCGUCGACCCAACCCGCAAGGGAGGGAGACGCCGAAGGUGUGUCCGGUAACUGGGAUGAAGUCGUAACAAGGUAACC
This 1471-nucleotide ribosomal RNA is filed under the name uncultured bacterium. RNAcentral's name for it is "16S ribosomal RNA". It matches the Rfam family "Bacterial small subunit ribosomal RNA". The record is from RNAcentral.